UUUGCGCUUUGUAAUUAAAGAAAUUGCAUGUAGUGUUAUGAGAAAUGUAAAUAAGUUACGCGCAAUUUAUUUUUAGUUAUUCAUACUAUUAAGUUCCAUACUAUUAAGUUAUGUAAUCUGCGCAUGAGAGCGUUAAAAUAUUCUAUGCGAACAUCGUUGUAGAAAGAUGUCAAAAGAAAUUGUCAAAACUGUACACCGCUAUCCAAUAUGUAAUCCGAAUACAUUCAUUAAUGACGCGCUUACCGAAAGUCUGGAUACUCUACCUGUGUGCGAGGAGAAGCUACUCUCUUUUACUGCUCUCCCAAUUCAAUCGUGGUCCAUUGUGUCCUGCUUUAUGGAGUUGCCGGUUACGGUCAAAGAGGAACUUGCUGUCAAGGACGCACAUUCUCUAUUAAGGGCAUAGACAUCGCCUGUGACAAUGAAACGUCUAUUAUGUACCAGCUCUGCAAUCAAUGGUUUAGCUAUCUGGGUCAAGAGAGUGUUGCCCUGGGGUCAGUACUACGCAUAUAUCCAACAACAAUGAGCCUGGGGCUUCAGAGGAAGUUAAGGAUAAUAUCCUCUACAAGAAGGUUUCUGAACCGGAUUAGCUGUCUUGGAUUACAGGAAUUGAAGUUUCAUUAUCGGUCUAGCUGUAGCAAUUGUUCUCAUUGGUUUUAUGAGAACCUACCACUUCAGUGCUUAGGGACGCACCUAUUCAUUUGAAGUGACACUUAAUGGUUUCUCAAUCGAAGCAUUCAAGUUUGAAAGAUAUUUUGAGAUUCCAUCCAAGAACGAAGUUUUUGCACUUCAAUAUCAGUGUCAAAGGCGCUACUACAGACCGGCAUUCCGAAGGAAUUGAUUGCAGAUGGCUUUUACUCGAUUGGAGCAACGGAUAGACAAGUGUAUCCAUUCGAUGCAUCAGUAGUCGAACUCCCAGUUCGAACUCGCAACUGCGAGACGCCGCUCUCUCUUGAAGAUAGAAGUGUAACAUUGGCAUCCCAAAGGCUGGGACAAUGGCCGUCACUUAUACGACUAUAAAAAGGAACAAUUUAUUCAGUGACGAUCAGUGAUUUGAAACGCGUCUCAUGUAUACCUAUAUAUACAUAUUUAUGUAAUAAUUCCGAAUUGAAUAUCGUACGAUAGCAUGGAAUUACAAUCGAUAGGAUAUAUACUGUAUUAUCUGCAUAGAAAACAGAUUCGAUUAAAACCAAUUAAAUACGUUA
Long non-coding RNA from Cyphomyrmex costatus, 1202 nucleotides. RefSeq lists it as uncharacterized. NCBI's taxonomy places the organism in Eukaryota, Metazoa, Arthropoda, Insecta, Hymenoptera, Formicidae. The transcript has 3 exons. The record is from RefSeq and is a predicted model, not a curated record.